CAACAGUAACUACAAAUAUCAUUUCUCUGGUUUUCUAAACACAAGAAAAGCCCUAGCCACCGACCUAGCUUUUGGCUUUUGUUUUCUCCUCCGUCCCUCCUUCUCAUUCUUUCCCUUCUCUUUUGUUUCAAUUUUCUUUUGAGUUUUGUCUCAAUUUUUUUUCUGAAUUUGUCUCAGAUUUGGGCUUCAUGCCUCCUCCCUCCUUCCCUCCCUCUCUUUUGGUCGCGCCUUUCCAAACCCAAACCUUCAUCUUCCCUCACCCUUUCCCCUACCUCCCUUCCUCAUAAUCUAUCCCCACCCCAUUCUUUGCUUCGAUCUGCGAUCUUUGAACCGAAAAUGAAUGCAAGAUCCAUUUCUAUCCCUUACUUCCCCUCCCCCAACUGGGUUGGUAUCCCCUCAAGGUCUAGUGUUUUGCGGCUUUAGCCAAAGUAAAGAGCAGCUCCAGCGGGAGCAACUGCUAGAGGGACAGGCUGCAAAACAGGGCUUGAUUGCCGGAGGGAGGAAGUCCAACGUUGGCUGGCGAGCGAGCCCGAGCAGGCCCGAGCUCCAGGCCCGUGGAUUCGUGCCGGCCCGAGCGCCCGAAGGCUAUCUGACGUGGGCUGACGUCAGGGUGACAGAAGCCACAUUAUUAAGGCACCCAUCGGCAUUGACGCCACCCUUUCCGAUCUUCUCACCGACGUUGGCGUCCCUUCAUCUCCUCUUUCUUUGUCUCCGUUUGCUUCCCAUCCUCCUCUAUUUUGUCUCAAACAAUCACUCUCUCUCCAACUAAAAUCGACGACACCGACUCUGAUUCAAAGGCCUGCAACAUUCUGACCACCCGUGCGGUGGAUCUGGUGGGAGAUGGAGCAACAAACAGGAGAGACAAAAAAGGAGGACGAGGAGAGAGAAUGAAGGACAGAGAGGUAAACGGAUUGAGAGCUCAAGCUCUCGGCUUCAAUGGUAGGACCUAGCACCAUGCACUGAUGCCACAUGCAAGGCCAUGGUUGGGUUCCUUGAGUUCCAGGGAUUCCAGAAAUAUUAUUUUUGAGCUUGAUUUGGAAGGUUUGAAGACGAAGAAGGAAGAGAGCUCACAAGAGUGAGCUGGAAAGGAGGGAGAGAAAGAAAGAAAAAGGAUGAGGGAGAUAGAAAGAAAAGAGAGAGACAAAGAGACAGAGAGGGAGAGAGAGGAAGAAUCGGUCAAAUGAGGGGAAAACGGGGAAGGGUGAUGGGGAUGGGUGAGGAAAAAAUAGUAAUAUUUUAUUACCAAUUGACAGGGCUAUUCAGUAUAGGGGUGGAGAUGCAAAAAGCGAUUACUGUUCAUUGAAUGCAAUUACUGUUCACUGGGUGGAUAGCAUAGUUAAUAGCCUGGAGGAGGGUUUCCAACGGUGGAACUACUCUUAUAUAUAAGGUGAAAAUAAGGAAGGUCAUCAUGCAUGAAAACUAAUAAGGAGCUAGGUUAAUUUAUGUGUUUACCUAGCAAGAUGUGAGCGAGGCUAUUGUGCUCCAUGUAAUCAUAAACAAGAAUUCUACGGCGGCCUUCCACACAACCACCGCGCAUCUUGACCAGAUUUUGAUGGCGAAUACUGGAGAGUGAAGCUAGCUCAGACAUGAACUCCCUAUCUCCUUGCUUUGAUUCAGCUGAAAGAACUUUCACGGCCACGGCCACUCCGUCAUUAAGUUUUCCCUU
This is a long non-coding RNA of Malus domestica (apple), 1666 nucleotides long. RefSeq lists it as uncharacterized. Lineage: Eukaryota; Viridiplantae; Streptophyta; Magnoliopsida; Rosales; Rosaceae. The record is from RefSeq and is a predicted model, not a curated record.